AUUCUUCGUUUCAUUGUGUACAUUCCUAGUCUUUUGCGAUUAACUUCUUCGUUUCACUACUGUUUUCUUACAUUAAUGUUUAUGUAUGACAUGUAAUCUGACAGUGAGGUUUUACACGAUUCUGGAAAAGUUGGGACAACUUUGUCAGGCUCUCUUUGUGAUCUGCUGAUCAGAGGGCUAGGUUUGGAGAAUUAUGCUAAUCUUUCCUCUUUUUUCUUCGUUUUUUCAACAACUAUUUGCCACACUACCCCAUCAUUCUACUGUUUUCUGAUAUUUAGGUUUUUGACAUAUAAUCUGACAUUGAAAGUUUGCUCGAUUCUGGAAAAGUGCAACACUUUUGUGGGGUUUUCUUGUAGCCAUCAUCUAAACGACUUGAUACAAUGGACAAAAAUGGAGCACGGUUCUAGAUAGAUAAAUAAAAUUCCUUCAAUGAAUCGUUCUUAUUUAUUUUAAUUUCUGGGAUUCGAUUGCAAGUCAUAAAUUGAAUUGUGUAAAUGUUUUUCUGCAGUGUGAAAAAUUUGGGACAACUUUGUAACUGUGAUUUCAGAGAUGAGCGGCAUGGUUUGAAGAAAUAUUUUUGUUGUUUUUUAUUUUUUUUCUACAACUAUUUGUUGCGGCAUAAUAUUUCUGCACAUGUAUCAUCUGUGGUAUUCGCAGGGUCUGUAGAAUGCAUGGGUUUGGUGUGCAACAGAGGUCUCGAGAUUUUUUUCUACAACAUUCUUUUUUAAUUUUUAUGCCUUCGCUUUGAUGCAUUAUAAGUGAACUGAACUUUGAACGUGUUUUCUGCAGCUUGGUUUGUCAAAAUAAUAACUUUCUUCAUAGUAUGGAUUCUCGAGAUUUGGUUUGGCGAUCUUUAGUAAAAACAUUUGUUUCAAUCUUUCAUUAUUAAUUCUUAUAUCAUAUAUAUGUCUUGAUUUGGUACUUACUCUUGGGUUCUGCACGAGAAGAUGUGAUUUUAAUUUUUCGAUUCUAAAAUUUGCUUGUUCUUGUGUUCAAUUUUCUUUUCUUUCUUGAUUUCUUGAUCUGUUUGCCAGUUGUUUUUUUCCAUGAUUGCUUAAUUUCA
This 1063-nucleotide long non-coding RNA is filed under the name Trifolium pratense (red clover). RNAcentral describes it as "long non-coding RNA (TPRA_LNC013614)". Lineage: Eukaryota; Viridiplantae; Streptophyta; Magnoliopsida; Fabales; Fabaceae. The record is from RNAcentral.